UUUCCUACGGGAGGCAGCAGUGGGGAAUCUUGCACAAUGGGGGAAACCCUGAUGCAGCGACGCCGCGUGAGCGAUGAAGCCCUUCGGGGUGUAAAGCUCUUUCGGCAGGGACGAUUAUGACGGUACCUGCAGAAGCAGCUGCGGCUAACUACGUGCCAGCAGCCGCGGUAAUACGUAGGCAGCAAGCGUUGUUCGGAAUUACUGGGCGUAAAGGGUGCGUAGGCGGUCUCGUAAGUUCGGUGUGAAAUCUCCCGGCUCAACUGGGAGGGUGCGCCGAAAACUGCGAGGCUAGAGUGCGGGAGAGGAGAGUGGAAUUCCUGGUGUAGCGGUGAAAUGCGUAGAUAUCAGGAGGAACCCCUGUGGUGUAGACGGCUCUCUGGACCGCAACUGACGCUGAGGCACGAAAGCGUGGGGAGCAAACAGGAUUAGAUACCCUUGUAGUCG
This 444-nucleotide ribosomal RNA is filed under the name uncultured bacterium. Its description in RNAcentral is "bacterial SSU rRNA". It matches the Rfam family "Bacterial small subunit ribosomal RNA", at positions 335 to 796 of the family's 1533-position model. The record is from RNAcentral.